Long non-coding RNA from Daphnia magna, 1130 nucleotides. RefSeq lists it as uncharacterized. Lineage: Eukaryota; Metazoa; Arthropoda; Branchiopoda; Diplostraca; Daphniidae. The record is from RefSeq and is a predicted model, not a curated record. The transcript has 2 exons.
GUUUGAAGGCACACUGAUAAUAAACAAACGUAAGGACAACAACAAAAAAAUUUGCAUUAAUUAUUCACAUGUCUCGAUAACGUUUAUUUUUAUUUUAUUUUAUUUUUUGAUUUAAAUGGAAACCAUUUCAUUGGAAUUGAAAUAUCCAGCUAGACGAAUAUCUAAUUCUCUUGAAUGGGAAGAAUAAUUAUAAAAUAGCUUCAAGUCAAAAGACUUUCUUUUAUAGCGAAAAACCUUGGUACAACCUGUAUUGAAAGUCAACACAGCAAGAAGAACUGUUUCUGGAAGAAAAAAUUAAAUAAAAAUAAAAUAAGAAUACAAACAAAAUGUGUGGUGCAAUUGUCCGGGAGGGAUGAAGCAACACAAUUUUUUUUUCCAGACAAUUUUGCUUUGUAGCUGUCUUCGUCUAUAUACGUUUAAAUAAUGGGCACGACGCUCGUGACACGAUACGAGGUUAAACGGAAGCCGCAAUUCUGUAAUGCGGGACCUCCCGGUUGGCUAACUUUCAAUGGAACGCAAUGAUUUUCUUUUUUUUUUUUUUGUCCAUCGUGGAAUGGCCGUGACGGAAAUUGGGUUUAUGCCAUUGCCAUUAUAUAUACUUGUCCGGCACGUAGGCAUUCUAUAUAAAAGCAUGUCGACCAUUGUUAAGUGUCAAAUUUUCAAAGAGUGCCUUCGCAAAAUCAAAGCUUUUGGUUUUCUUCGUUUUGCUGUACCGAAUUCCAAUUUUUCGAGUGUAUUCCAUAGCCACAAAGUUCAUCGUGAGAGCCGAUGAAGCAACAAGCAGGUCCGUCGCAACAGGCGAUAUAUCCGCCGAUCGUGUCAGGUUUCAUUCGCCGGAUAUGCAUUCGUGACUCUAUGGCUUAGAGCUGGAGUGCCUUUCUCUUUUUUACUACCCGCAUUUGAUACUCUCGCAGCCGUUAGACGUUCAACCCGUCCAUGGACGCACGAGGUUAUUUCGUUAUGCACGCUGGGUGUUCAACCGAAGCGACUCGCCACUUUAAUGAACCGUCCAAAGCCUUUGCUUGGCAAACAAAAAUGAUGCGCACGUAUUGCUUUGUUUGUGUAACGUGUCUGUAGUUCCAAAGCAGAAAAAAAAUAUUUAUAUAUAAUAAAAUUGUGCUACGCAUCGA